UAGUCCACGCUGUAAACGAUGUCGAUUUAGAGGUUGUGGUCUUGAACCGUGGCUUCUGGAGCUAACGCGUUAAAUCGACCGCCUGGGGAGUACGGCCGCAAGGUUAAAACUCAAAUGAAUUGACGGGGGCCCGCACAAGCGGUGGAGCAUGUGGUUUAAUUCGAUGCAACGCGAAGAACCUUACCUACUCUUGACAUCCAGCGGAUCCUUUAGAGAUAGAGGAGUGCCUUCGGGAACGCUGAGAC
This 245-nucleotide ribosomal RNA is filed under the name uncultured bacterium. RNAcentral's name for it is "partial 16S ribosomal RNA". It matches the Rfam family "Bacterial small subunit ribosomal RNA", at positions 791 to 1035 of the family's 1533-position model. The record is from RNAcentral.